GAUGAACGCUGGCGGCGUGCCUAAUACAUGCAAGUCGAGCGAACAGACGAGGAGCUUGCUCCUCUGACGUUAGCGGCGGACGGGUGAGUAACACGUGGAUAACCUACCUAUAAGACUGGGAUAACUUCGGGAAACCGGAGCUAAUACCGGAUAAUAUAUUGAACCGCAUGGUUCAAUAGUUAAAGACGGUUUUGCUGUCACUUAUAGAUUGAUCCGCGCCGCAUUAGCUAGUUGGUAAGGUAACGGCUUACCAAGGCGACGAUGCGUAUCCGACCUGAGAGGGUGAGCGGCCACACUGGAACUGAGACACGGACCAGACGCCUACGGGAGGCAGCAGUAGGGAAUCUUCCGCAAUGGGCGAAAGCAUGACGGAGCAAAGCCGCGUGAGUGAUGAAGGUCUUCGGAUCGUAAAACUCUGUUAUUAGGGAAGAACAAAUGUGUAAGUAACUAUGAACGUCUUGACGGUACCUAAUCAGAAAGCCACGGCUAACUACGUG
Molecule: ribosomal RNA, 497 nt
Filed under: uncultured bacterium
Lineage: Bacteria
Description: partial 16S ribosomal RNA
Rfam family: Bacterial small subunit ribosomal RNA
Source: RNAcentral